RNAcentral lists this ribosomal RNA (497 nucleotides) under uncultured bacterium. RNAcentral's name for it is "partial 16S ribosomal RNA". It matches the Rfam family "Bacterial small subunit ribosomal RNA", at positions 28 to 507 of the family's 1533-position model. The record is from RNAcentral.
GUUGAACGCUGGCGGCAUGCCUUACACAUGCAAGUCGAACGGCAGCACGGGUGCUUGCCCCUGGUGGCGAGUGGGGAACGGGUGAGUAAUACAUCGGGACAUGUCCUGUAGUGGGGGGUAGCCCGUCGGAAGCCGGGUUAAUACCGCCUACGAUCUACGUGAAAAGGCGGGGGACCUUCGGGCCGCGGGCCAUGGGGUUGCCCAUUGACGGAUUGGCGCUGCAUUAGCUAGUUGGUGGGGUAAAGGCCUACCAAGGCGACGAUCAGUAGCGGGGCUGAGCGGAUGACCAGCCACACUGGGACUGAGACACGGCCCAGACUCCUACGGGAGGCAGCAGUGGGGAAUUUUGGACAAUGGGCGAAAGCCUGAUCCAGCAAUGCCGCGUGUGUGAAGAAGGCCUUCGGGUUGUAAAGCACUUUUGUCCGGAAAGAAAACCUUGGCACUAAUACGGUCGGGGGAUGACGGUACCGGAAGAAUAAGCACCGGCUAACUACGUG